This 437-nucleotide long non-coding RNA is filed under the name Lathyrus oleraceus (garden pea). RNAcentral's name for it is "Pisum sativum (pea) long non-coding RNA (PSAT_LNC038435)". The record is from RNAcentral. Lineage: Eukaryota; Viridiplantae; Streptophyta; Magnoliopsida; Fabales; Fabaceae.
UUUUUUUUCUUUUCUUUUUUUUCGUUUUCUUUUUUUUUUUUUUAAGGUAAAAUGAAGGGUAAAUUUUGGGGUAUUACAGCUGCCCCUAUUCAAUCAACUGGAGACCCGGAAAGAAGAUGGCAACUGCUUUCGUGCUUUCGAGGUAUCAAGGGAUUGAAUACAAUAAAAGCCUAAAAAUUUGCACUGAAGUGAAGUGAAGUAACAAUGUAUGUCAGAAUCGGCAAAGAGGUGGUCUUGAAAGAAGAAUCCGUCUGGUACGGUGAAAGUCAGUCUGAAUGCCGCUCAUCAGUCUGAAUACUGGAAAGGAUUUCGAUCUGAACAUCGAAAAAUGGGCCUGAAUGCCACAAGUCGCAUCGACCUGAACGUCGGAAACUUCUUCGAUCUGAACAUCGGAAAAUUGGCCUGAAUGCCACUUCGAUCUGAAUAUCGGAAAAUUG